AUGUCAGCAGCAAGAGUCAGCCAGCGGGCGCCCAAGACUGUCGCAGACACAGUUCCCUUGUGGUUGCCCUUCAGUCAAACUGCCAACUUAUUAGAGAUCCACCAGGGACCCGGAGCGUGGGGAGGCUGUCCCAAAGGCUGGAAAUCCUUGCCUGAUAUGAACUUAGAAUCAAGUUUGUCAGAGAGUCCUGUCGCUGCACAGCUGGAGCCCAGGCAACAGAGGAUGCGGGAGGCGAGGGAAACAGCCACUUCCGAUGAAUGAAUGCCCCGCACCUAGGCUUAGAUCACCCACCAGUCGGCCAGACGCACUGAGAACCCAGCAGGUCGUCACUGCCCCAAAAGCCCCUCCCUGAAAAUGAGGGGUUCUGUUCUCGUAUUUUGCCUUCAGCAGCCUUGUCCACCUGGGUCUCCGUCUCCAGCCCUCCUUGGUCCUCCUCCAGACCCUGCCAGCUGGAUCUAAGCGUUGUUAGGAGGGACAAAUCUGCAGGUAGCCACCACCUUGCCCCCCAGCCAACUCGCAAAGCCAGGCUCCAGCUGCGAGGGGACGAGCCGCCCUGGGAGGGAAAUGACCAAGGUCAAUGCUGGGGACACAGCAUCUGCAGCAAUGCAUUCCCCCCUUUCUUCUCCUGUGGUCAUUGUUACUUUCCACUGACCAGCUGCCUGCAGGCUCCGAGCGGAGACAGAAUGGGUAACACAGCCUCCAUUCAGCGGAGAUUAAUGCCUGAAAUGAGCCACACCUCUGAACAAUUGCUUCCUAGAAGAGGGAGGGCGCUGAAUGGCCAUGGAGCCCCAUUGAUGACUGUUAUAAAAAAGAGGUGAAGGCCUGCAUGGGAGGGAAGAAAAGUUUCACACUGCCUCCCAAACCUAGCUCCGAUUCUUCCCCAUCCCUCCUCUUUUCCCUUCUGCCCGUCCUUUUGGCCCAUUUGCCCUUAAUCCGGACUCGUCCUUUUUUGUCUCGGGACUCGGGCCACCAGCUGAAAAUUCACAGGUUUGCUACUGUAAGUCAUAUCUUGGUGGCUGCUGCCGACCGCAUUGGUACUAGUAUCUGUGCAACUUUCCGACUUGACAAUUAGUUACUAUCAUUCACACUGUGCAGUCAGCUGUUAAAUCCUCAUUUAUGCUCAUUUGAAUAUGAAUGUGCUGUUCAAUAACAUGUUAGAUUGCCAUGUUUACAAAUAUACUCCAGGUAUUUAGAAAUUUAGAUGAUGCAAAACAUACUGUUUAAGCUGCGCUCAGUGCCAGUUUAAAUAACUUAAGCCUAUUUAUCA
RNAcentral lists this long non-coding RNA (1267 nucleotides) under Capra hircus (goat). RNAcentral's name for it is "lncRNA (ENSCHIG00000005617.1)". Lineage: Eukaryota; Metazoa; Chordata; Mammalia; Artiodactyla; Bovidae. The record is from RNAcentral.